This is a non-coding RNA of Pangasius djambal, 74 nucleotides long. The record is from the annotation of a GenBank genome assembly. NCBI's taxonomy places the organism in Eukaryota, Metazoa, Chordata, Actinopteri, Siluriformes, Pangasiidae.
GGAACUGGUAGCUCAGUGGUUAAGCUGUUGGACUUCUGCUCGGAAGGUCACGAGUUCAAGUCCCGGCACUGCCA